ACUGCUCAGUAACACGUGGACAACCUACCCAAGAGUCAGGGAUAACCCCGGGAAACUGGGGAUAAUACCUGAUAGGCCACGACAUCUGGAAUCGAGUCGUGGUUUAAACGUAAGGCUCUUGGAUGGGUCUGCGGCUGAUUAGGUUGUUGCCGGUGUAACGUACCGUCAAGCCUGUAAUCAGUACGGGUUGUGGGAGCAAGAGCCCGGAGAUGGAUUCUGAGACACGAAUCCAGGCCCUACGGGGCGCAGCAGGCGCGAAAACUCUACAAUGCAGGCAACUGCGAUAGGGGAACAUCGAGUGGCGUCCAUAUUGGAUGUCUGUCCACCAGCCUAAAAAGCGGGUGUUAGCAAGGGCCGGGCAAGACCGGUGCCAGCCGCCGCGGUAAUACCGGCGGCUCGAGUGGUGGCCGAUAUUAUUGAGUCUAAAGGGUCCGUAGCCGGCUUUGCAAGUCUCUCGGGAAAUCCAGCGGCUUAACCGUUGGUCGGCCGGGGGGUACUACAUUGCUUGGGACUGGGAGAGGUAGGAGGUACUCAGGGGGUAGGAGUGAAAUCCUGUAAUCCUUUGGGGACCACCGGUGGCGAAGGCGUCCUACCAGAACAGGUCCGACGGUGAGGGACGAAAGCUAGGGGCACGAACCGGAUUAGAUACCCGGGUAGUCCUAGCCGUAAACGAUGCUCGCUAGGUGUCACAACAGUCGUGAACUGUUGUGGUGCCGUAGGGAAGCCGUGAAGCGAGCCACUUGGGAAGUACGGCCGCAAGGCUGAAACUUAAAGGAAUUGGCGGGGGAGCACA
RNAcentral lists this ribosomal RNA (793 nucleotides) under uncultured archaeon. RNAcentral describes it as "bacterial SSU rRNA". It matches the Rfam family "Archaeal small subunit ribosomal RNA", at positions 85 to 880 of the family's 1478-position model. The record is from RNAcentral.